Molecule: ribosomal RNA, 400 nt
Filed under: phytoplankton environmental sample
Lineage: Eukaryota
Description: partial small subunit ribosomal RNA
Rfam family: Eukaryotic small subunit ribosomal RNA
Source: RNAcentral
AGCUCCAAUAGCGAAUAUUAAAGUUGUUGCGGUUAAAAAGCUCGUAGUUGGAUCUACGAUCAAGUCAUGUGGUCACUCUGCCUGAGUGCACUGCACUGACUGAUCCAUAUAUCCAGUAUUCGAUUGAUGCUCUUCAUUGAGUGUCUCUAGUUGCUGGAACUCUUACCUUGAAAAAAUUGGAGUGCUCAAGGCAGGCUAAAGCCUGAACAUUGCUGCAUGUGAUAAUAGAAUAGGACUUCGGUUCUAGUUUGUUGGUUUCGGAACACGAAGAUUACUUUGUGUUCCGAAACCAACAAAAUAGAACCGAAGUCCUAUUCGGAUUAAUGAUUAAUAGGGACAGACAGGGGCAUUCGUAUUGCUGCGUUAGAGGUGAAAUUCUUGGAUCGUAGCAAGACGAACU